Molecule: transfer RNA, 76 nt
Filed under: Holosporaceae bacterium
Lineage: Bacteria; Pseudomonadati; Pseudomonadota; Alphaproteobacteria; Holosporales; Holosporaceae
Description: tRNA-Ala
Rfam family: tRNA
About the family: Transfer RNA (tRNA) molecules are approximately 80 nucleotides in length. Their secondary structure includes four short double-helical elements and three loops (D, anti-codon, and T loops).
Source: RNAcentral
GGGGAAUUAGCUCAGACGGGAGAGCGCCUGCUUUGCACGCAGGAGGUCAGCGGUUCGAUUCCGCUAUUCUCCACCA